RNAcentral lists this long non-coding RNA (293 nucleotides) under Ananas comosus (pineapple). RNAcentral describes it as "long non-coding RNA (ACOM_LNC009991)". Lineage: Eukaryota; Viridiplantae; Streptophyta; Magnoliopsida; Poales; Bromeliaceae. The record is from RNAcentral.
UCAAAUCCCCACAUCUGAAACAACCACCUGUGACGCACCUGCAGUCCGAAUCCUUAUGCGAUCUACCACAAACUGAACAUUUCGGCUUCUGAUCUCAAUUUGGUGGUCCACCUCGAGGAGCUGGCGUAUUACGCGACCUCCCCGAGUCAUUAGAUCUGUCCGCUUCUCUUGCAUUCUGAUCACCUUAUCUGAAAGAAUCUCUAUUCCUCUUCUUCUGAUUUGCAUUUCGCUCUUCUCGAGUCUGCCUCCAUACUGAAUCCAAAGAUUUCGCUCUGAAAACGACAUCAUCAUAU